Molecule: ribosomal RNA, 348 nt
Filed under: uncultured bacterium
Lineage: Bacteria
Description: bacterial SSU rRNA
Rfam family: Bacterial small subunit ribosomal RNA
Source: RNAcentral
GGGCCCGCACAAGCGGUGGAGCAUGUGGUUUAAUUCGAUGAUACGCGAGGAACCUUACCAGGGCUUAAAUGUAGUCUGACAGGGGUGGAAACACCCCUCCUUCGGGCAGAUUACAAGGUGCUGCAUGGUUGUCGUCAGCUCGUGCCGUGAGGUGUCAGGUUAAGUCCUAUAACGAGCGCAACCCCUGCCGUUAGUUGCCAGCAUGUAAUGAUGGGAACUCUAACGGGACUGCCGGUGCAAACCGCGAGGAAGGUGGGGAUGACGUCAAAUCAUCACGGCCCUUACGUCCUGGCUACACACGUGCUACAAUGGCCGGUACAGAGGGCAGCCACACCGCAAGGUGGAGCG